This 206-nucleotide ribosomal RNA is filed under the name uncultured bacterium. RNAcentral's name for it is "partial 16S ribosomal RNA". It matches the Rfam family "Bacterial small subunit ribosomal RNA", at positions 568 to 773 of the family's 1533-position model. The record is from RNAcentral.
CGCGUAGGCGGGCCGCCAGGCCCGCGGUGAAAUCCCCCGGCUCAACCGGGGAAGUGCCGCGGGGACCGGCGGUCUGGAGUGAGAUAGGGGCGUGCGGAACUGUGGGUGGAGCGGUGAAAUGCGUUGAUAUCCACAGGAACUCCGGUGGCGAAGGCGGCACGCUGGAUCUCUACUGACGCUGAGGCGCGAAAGCCAGGGGAGCGAAG